CCUACGGGAGGCAGCAGUGGGGAAUUUUGGACAAUGGGGGCAACCCUGAUCCAGCCAUUCCGCGUGAGUGAAGAAGGCCUUCGGGUUGUAAAGCUCUUUCGCAAGGGAAGAAAACUUAUGAUCGAAUAAAUCAUGAGGUUGACGGUACCUUGAUAAGAAGCACCGGCUAACUACGUGCCAGCAGCCGCGGUAAUACGUGGGGUGCGAGCGUUAAUCGGAAUUACUGGGCGUAAAGCGUGCGCAGGCGGUUUUGUAAGUCGGAUGUGAAAUCCCCGGGCUCAACCUGGGAACUGCGUUCGAAACUGCAAGGCUAGAGUGUGUCAGAGGGGGGUAGAAUUCCACGUGUAGCAGUGAAAUGCGUAGAGAUGUGGAGGAAUACCAAUGGCGAAGGCAGCCCCCUGGGAUAACACUGACGCUCAUGCACGAAAGCGUGGGGAGCAAACAGGAUUAGAUACCCUGGUAGUCCACGCCCUAAACGAUGUCAACUAGUUGUUGGUAGAGUAAAAUCUAUGAGUAGCGUAGCUACGCGUGAGUAGACGCCGUGGGAGGUACGGUCGCGAGAAGUAAACUACAAGAGUAGUAGACGNGAGAGACGACGACGACGACGACGACGGAGGGAGGAGG
RNAcentral lists this ribosomal RNA (624 nucleotides) under uncultured bacterium. RNAcentral's name for it is "bacterial SSU rRNA". The stretch from base 1 to 541 matches the Rfam family "Bacterial small subunit ribosomal RNA", at positions 338 to 873 of the family's 1533-position model. The record is from RNAcentral.